RNAcentral lists this transfer RNA (75 nucleotides) under Marmota monax (woodchuck). Its description in RNAcentral is "tRNA.Ala". The record is from RNAcentral. Lineage: Eukaryota; Metazoa; Chordata; Mammalia; Rodentia; Sciuridae.
GUAUGUAGGUCAGUGGUAAAGCGUUUGUCUAGCACUAGCAUGCUUCAGGUUUUGGGAUCAAUUCCCAGCAUCACA